This 27-nucleotide ribosomal RNA is filed under the name Allobates sp. Carajas. RNAcentral describes it as "partial 12S ribosomal RNA". Lineage: Eukaryota; Metazoa; Chordata; Amphibia; Anura; Aromobatidae. The record is from RNAcentral.
UAAGUAUACCGGAAGGUGUGCUUGGAU